Molecule: ribosomal RNA, 294 nt
Filed under: uncultured bacterium
Lineage: Bacteria
Description: partial 16S ribosomal RNA
Rfam family: Bacterial small subunit ribosomal RNA
Source: RNAcentral
GGAUUAGAUACCCUGGUAGUCCACGCUGUAAACGAUGAAUACUAGCUGUUGGUCAUUUAAAGAUGAUAAGUAGCGCAGCAAACGCGAUAAGUAUUCCGCCUGGGGAGUACGGCCGCAAGGUUAAAACUCAAAGGAAUUGACGGGGGCCCGCACAAGCGGUGGAGCAUGUGGUUUAAUUCGAUGCAACGCGAAGAACCUUACCUACCCUUGACAUACUUGGAAUCUUGCAGAGAUGCGAGAGUGCCUACGGGAAUCAAGUUACAGGUGCUGCAUGGCUGUCGUCAGCUCGUGCUG